UACCCGCAGCACAAGUGGUGGUCAUUAUUAUUGGGCCUAAAGCGUCCGUAGCUGGCGUGUUAGAUGCCUGGGUAAAUCGAUGCGCUCAACGUAUCGAAUUCCGGGUAGACCGGCACGCUCGAGACCGGGAGAGGUGUGGGGUACUCGGGGGGUAGGGGUAAAAUCCUGUAAUCCUUCGGGGAGGACCAGUGGCGAAGGCGCUACACUAGAACGGCUCUGACAGUGAGGGACGAAGCCCUGGGGCGCAAACCGG
Molecule: ribosomal RNA, 253 nt
Filed under: uncultured bacterium
Lineage: Bacteria
Description: partial 16S ribosomal RNA
Rfam family: Archaeal small subunit ribosomal RNA
Source: RNAcentral